This 903-nucleotide ribosomal RNA is filed under the name Triticum aestivum (bread wheat). RNAcentral's name for it is "partial small subunit ribosomal RNA". Lineage: Eukaryota; Viridiplantae; Streptophyta; Magnoliopsida; Poales; Poaceae. The record is from RNAcentral.
AUGUCAUAUAGGAGCAACAACCCUGAGAUCUCAUCGUUUGCUUCUAGUAAUCAUAUGCGGGGAUUUAGGUACAAUGAGGAGAGCCACAACUAUGCUCCACAACAGAUUUAUUCAGCUCCUACUCAUAUACCUCAACACCAGGAGAUGUUGCCAAUGGAGUUAAAUGGUCCUCCAUUUGGUCAACCAACAACUCCAGCAACUGCUGAGCAAUCUCAUGUGCAAGUGCCCACACAAGAUGAAUUUGAUGAUAUAGACAAGCUCACAUUGCUUAGUCUCGAGUUCACUUGGAGUGCUGAAGAUGAUCCAAUUAGGCCGAUGAUACUAGAUGAAAUGAAGAAUAUCAAGAGUGGAAAAGAGCUAGUGGAUGAAGUAAGGAAGAUUGAGAAGAACAUCAACGCUAGUAGUACUAUCUCAUCUCUCCUUGAGCUGAGUGCUGCUGAGAUUUCUAGUCAUACAUGUGAGGUUCCAACACCGUCACAUCCAGUUGAGCAAGAUAGCAAGAGUCCAGAGGAAGAAAGACCUCGGAUUGAAGAAGAUGAACUAGAAGACAAGGAACAAGAUGAUCAAGAGCUGCAAUUCCCAAGUGAUCAAGUUGAAGACUCAUCAUCUACUACUCCUGAAGAAAUACAAGAAGCUGCUGUAGAUGAAGAUGAAGAACAUGCGAUUCAUUUGCCUAUCGUCAUACCAGAGCGUGAUGUGUCAGGUUUACCCAAUCCUCUUGAUGACAUGAUGCCUUGUGAUUUCUUUGCUACUACCUUGCAUUACAUGAUACCAUCACUUAACAUUGAUUUGAAAACUCAUUUGCUUGGAUAUGAUGAUAUAUACCCUGUUAGUGGCAUUACUCUCAUUUGUGAUGAUCAUAGUUACUUUCCUCGUGCUAGUCCUAUGCUUCAUGAAACAUAG